UUAGGAAUCUUCCACAAUGGGCGAAAGCCUGAUGGAGCGACGCCGCGUGAGGGAUGAAGGCCUUAGGGUUGUAAACCUCUAAAAGAGGGACGAUAAUGACGGUACCUCUUGAAUAGCACCGGCUAACUCCGUGCCAGCAGCCGCGGUAAUACGGAGGGUGCAAGCGUUAUCCGGAAUCACUGGGCGUAAAGGGCGCGUAGGCGGUCUGUUAAGUCCGAUGUUAAAUCCCGGGGCUCAACCCCGGAUAAGCGUUGGAUACUGGCAGGCUAGACGGUUGGAGAGGUGAGUGGAAUUACCAGUGUAGCGGUGGAAUGCGUAGAUACUGGUAGGAACACCCAUUGCGAAGGCAGCUCGCUGGACAACACGUGACGCUGAGGCGCGAAAGUGUGGGGAGCAAACC
Molecule: ribosomal RNA, 400 nt
Filed under: uncultured bacterium
Lineage: Bacteria
Description: bacterial SSU rRNA
Rfam family: Bacterial small subunit ribosomal RNA
Source: RNAcentral